Molecule: non-coding RNA, 352 nt
Organism: Pelobates cultripes (western spadefoot toad)
Lineage: Eukaryota; Metazoa; Chordata; Amphibia; Anura; Pelobatidae
Source: the annotation of a GenBank genome assembly
UGUCCUUCUUGAUUGUCACUAUGAUUAUGAGAAUAUGAGAGAGUUCCAGAAGGUCUGCUUCUGGAAAGAUCACAACUCCACCAGUUACAGUGUCCAAUUAGGCCUUGAUCAUCCUACUAAUAGAACCAGACACAAAAGAUCACUACCCACAGACAAGACUUUGCAAACUCACACCAAUUGUUCUUCUAAAUCAGUAUUUUGGUGGAGCCGUGCUAAAGAGACUAGAACACAAGAGGAUUUUAUAUGUAAUGGCGGCAAAACCUGCCUUGUACUUAAUAUUACAACUAAAGGUCAAAUAUGCAUUGCUGCAAAGACUGCACAAGUAGUGGUCAAACCAUUGCAUGAUGAUUCC